Molecule: long non-coding RNA, 2510 nt
Filed under: Gossypium raimondii (Peruvian cotton)
Lineage: Eukaryota; Viridiplantae; Streptophyta; Magnoliopsida; Malvales; Malvaceae
Description: long non-coding RNA (GRAI_LNC008655)
Source: RNAcentral
UGCAUUUUUAUUCUUUUUCAAAGGAUUACAUGGGCUAAGAUAAUCCACAUGGCUUGGCGAAACGACCAUGUGAGUCUUGGAGCAUAAUUUUUUUUAGAUAUCGAAUAAUGACACGAGCUGUGAGCAUACACACAGUUGGGAGACACAACCGUGUGGUCCAACACAAGCCUUUACCCAACAGUGCCCCCUUUUAAAACCAAAACCCUCAUAUUUUCUUUUCCACCUAUUCUAUUUCCCCUUAGUCGUCAUUCUAGCUAAUAUACCCACAAAAUCCUCGCCGCUGUUGCACCAUUUUAUUCCAAUGUACCCACCUCACCGACAGUCAUGUGCUUCUCCAAACAUCGAUCCCACCUUACUGGUCUGACCACCAAACAUCCCUAGAUCUCCGUCGACCAUCACCCAUUUUACCCACAGCAAAUGCCUACCUUCUUUCCCCAAUCUCUCCUUCCAUUGCUCACUGCCAUCGUCACUAGUCCUUAUUGUUCAUGCACCCACCACCCUAAGUCAGCCCCCCGAAUCGUGUCCCCAUUCAUCUCCACCACUCCUAACGCAGCUGACCAGAACCCCCAUCUCUGCCUCCAUUUUCGCUCGUUCUCCUUAACCAUCGUCUGAUCUACCCAUGACGACCAUUCCACUACCAUUGUAGCCCUCACCGGUUGCGCCUCCAUGAACCACCGCCACUGCCCCCCAUAACACAAUUUGGCUCCUCCUUUACUUUUAUUAUUUCUAUUAUAUUUAUUAUUUUUAUUAUUAUUUCGUAUUAUUAUACCUAUUAUUAUCAUUACUAUUAUUAUUUUAUUUAUUUAGUUUAACACUCAUGUUGUUAGAAUUAGAUAGUUAGUUGUUUUUAUUUUUGUAUCUCCUUCAAAUUUUUUUUAUUUUUAGUAUUAGUUUUAGUUUUUAUAUUAAGAAUAGAUAAUUUGUGUGAUCUGGCUAUCGUCUUAAGAUCAAUUACGUGCUGAUUUGUUUUAUUUCACAUGUCUAUCUGUCUAUUUGCUCGAUUAAUUAUUGGUGGUGCUAAUUUUACUGCUUCUUUGAUAUUAGGUUGUUAUCCAAUAUUUCAGGUACAUAAUAACAAACACGAGAAGUAAAUCUAAGGUCGCGAUCCCGCAUUGAAAAAGCGAAAGACACUGGGUGUGACUUCGUCUUUGGCUACUUCUCCACUCGCGAGACAUUCGUGUCUCCAAUUAUUAUAGGGUCCAUAUGAGGACCAAUAUCAGCACUUAAAGGAAUGACCUUUGGGUUUGGAUCGUUGCAUAGACUGAGAGGCACUACAGGCAAUUAACUUAGCCGAUAGAGUUCGGACUGUGAUAGACAUAUCUCCGUGGGAUUGAUUUUUAUCUAUCGUGGAGCCUACUUAUUUAGGGCUCACACUGGAGUUCUGUUCAACAUUUUUCCUACAACAUGCUAUGUCAUGGUGGGAUGAGCCACACACUUUCUCUUUUAGAAUCGGGGGUAUAACAUGUUAUAUGAGCAUUUUGGGUUUCGGAGUCACCCUUGGACUUUAUUCCAAGGAGUUUAUGAGUACCCCAGAGUUCUCGACAUUAUCCCAAUAGAAGCACACUGUCUCUAAUACACAACUCCAUUCUAUUGGUCAAAGAUCACUGUCAAGAAGUACAGUACAACCCCAGUCAGUCCAAGGUAACUUGUCUACCUCCAGCAUUGCACUAAAGUCAUGCCGUUUUGGCUCACACACUGGCCAGUCAAAGGGAGAGUAUGAGGGUGGUUGGCACGUAUGACGCUUACUUCCUUUGGAGUAUGAUGACGCGACACCCAAUUGAUGUUGCCUAUUUUCUGGCCCUCUAUUGUCGCCAUCAGCCCGAACGAAGUAGGAAGGGUCCUAUCUGUUUGGGCCUUUAUGUGACUUGAUUGGUGAGACAUUUUGGACUACUUGAUACCUUGAAGUAGACUUCAUCAUUCACGUUAGUUGGACAAAUAAUCCCGUAGGGAUUAUGCAUUAUGAGGAUGAUUUAGUGCCUACACGAACGGGUCUUCGUUGAUACACCCUAUCUCAUUCAAAUCCUCAAGAUGAGCACAAGCUUUCAGACAAUGAUCUUCCUCAGCACGAGGAUGCAACUUCUUGUCCUCCUCCUACGAGUCAUCCUACUACUUUGCAUUUCGCUCCAUGCAACAAUAUUUCUAAGCAGUUUGACCGCUUUGAGUUAUGAUACUUUGAUCGGAUUGACCUUUUCGAGCAGCAAAAAUUAGAGCGGAUAGAUCACAUUAAGGUGUAUCUACAGCGAAUUUGCUAGCAUUUACAUAUCUCUCCUCUCGAUCAUGUGCCUUGUGAUCCCAACACCUCGCAUGACACCGUUCAUUGACCUGAUUUAAUUUUCUGUUUUAUUUAUUUUUAUUAUGAACUUUAUCUUUUCUUGUUUUAUUAGUUGUUUUCUUUUAAUUUUAUUAUCUCCUUAUCUUAUUUAUUUAUUUUGUCUAUUUUCUUAUUAGUUUGUUUGGAAAAAUGUACUUCAUUUAGAAUUGCCCAUAAUUCCGAUUUUCCCUAUUCCGAC